UACAGAGGUCCCAAGCGUUGUUCGGAUUCACUGGGCGUAAAGGGUGCGUAGGCGGUCGGGUAAGUCUGAUGUGAAAUCUCACAGCUUAACUGUGAAACUGCAUUGGAUACUAUCCGGCUCGAGGAAUGGAGGGGAGACUGGAAUACUUGGUGUAGCAGUGAAAUGCGUAGAUAUCAUUUGGAACGCCAAAGGUGAAAACAGACAGCUGGGGAUGUGCUGACGCUGAGACACGAAAGCCAGGGGAGCGAACGGG
RNAcentral lists this ribosomal RNA (253 nucleotides) under uncultured bacterium. RNAcentral describes it as "partial 16S ribosomal RNA". It matches the Rfam family "Bacterial small subunit ribosomal RNA", at positions 524 to 776 of the family's 1533-position model. The record is from RNAcentral.